RNAcentral lists this ribosomal RNA (500 nucleotides) under uncultured bacterium. RNAcentral describes it as "partial 16S ribosomal RNA". It matches the Rfam family "Bacterial small subunit ribosomal RNA", at positions 30 to 523 of the family's 1533-position model. The record is from RNAcentral.
AUUGAACGCUGGCGGCAUGCCUUACACAUGCAAGUCGAACGGCAGCACGGGAGCAAUCCUGGUGGCGAGUGGCGAACGGGUGAGUAAUAUAUCGGAACGUGCCCAGUCGUGGGGGAUAACGCAGCGAAAGCUGUGCUAAUACCGCAUACGAUCUACGGAUGAAAGCGGGGGAUCGCAAGACCUCGCGCGAUUGGAGCGGCCGAUAUCAGAUCAGCUAGUUGGUGAGGUAAAGGCUCACCAAGGCGACGAUCUGUAGCUGGUCUGGGAGGACGACCAGCCACACUGGAACUGGGACACGGUCCAGACUCCUACGGGAGGCAGCAGUGGGGAAUUUUGGACAAGGGGCGAAAGCCUGAUCCAGCAAUGCCGCGUGCAGGAUGAAGGCCUUCGGGUUGUAAACUGCUUUUGUACGGAACGAAACGGUGAGCUCUAAUACAGUUUGCUAAUGACGGUACCGUAAGAAUAAGCACCGGCUAACUACGUGCCAGCCGCCGCUGUAA